UACGGGAGGCAGCAGUGAGGAAUAUUGGUCAAUGGGCGCGAGCCUGAACCCGCCAAGUAGCGUGCAGGAAGACGGCCCUAUGGGUUGUAAACUGCUUUUAUACAGGGAUAAAGUGCGCCACGUGUGGUGUAUUGCAGGUACUGUAUGAAUAAGGACCGGCUAAUUCCGUGCCAGCAGCCGCGGUAAU
RNAcentral lists this ribosomal RNA (187 nucleotides) under uncultured rumen bacterium. RNAcentral describes it as "partial 16S ribosomal RNA". It matches the Rfam family "Bacterial small subunit ribosomal RNA", at positions 340 to 524 of the family's 1533-position model. The record is from RNAcentral.